GGAUGUGAGGGCAAUCUGUGACAUCUGUCACCCCAUUGAUUGCCAGGGUUGAUUUGGCUGAUCGGGCUAGCUAGGCGGGUGUUCCUUUCCUCCCUUACUUAUUGCGCCAUGUGCGUCCCUCUCGAAGCUGUGUGCUCAGUCAAAGAGGACGACCAUCCCAGAUAGAGGAGGACCGUUCUUCUGUCAAGGGUAUAUGAGUAGCUGCACUCCACUGCUAGCUAGAACCUCCAAACAAGCUCUCAAAAAAAAAGGAGAGAGAGAGAGAGAAGGAAGGAAGGAAGGAAG
RNAcentral lists this small nuclear RNA (285 nucleotides) under Castor canadensis (American beaver). Its description in RNAcentral is "7SK RNA (ENSCCNG00000015488.1)". It matches the Rfam family "7SK RNA". Rfam says of the family: 7SK was discovered as an abundant small nuclear RNA in the mid-70s but a possible function has only recently been suggested. The record is from RNAcentral. Lineage: Eukaryota; Metazoa; Chordata; Mammalia; Rodentia; Castoridae.